GACGAACGCUGGCGGCGUGCUUAACACAUGCAAGUCGAACGGAAAGGCCCUGCUUUUGUGGGGUGCUCGAGUGGCGAACGGGUGAGUAACACGUGAGUAACCUGCCCUUGACUUUGGGAUAACUUCACGAAACUGGGGCUAAUACCGGAUAGGAGCUCCUGCUGCAUGGUGGGGGUUGGAAAGUUUCGGCGGUUGGGGAUGGACUCGCGGCUUAUCAGCUUGUUGGGGGGGUAGUGGCUUACCAAGGCUUUGACGGGUAGCCGGCCUGAGAGGGUGACCGGCCACAUUGGGACUGAGAGACGGCCCAGAAUCCAACGGGAGGCAGCAGUGGGGAAUAUUGCAGAAUGGGCGGAAGCGUGAUGCAGCAACGCUGCGUGCGGGAUGACGGCCUACGGGUUGUAAACAGCUUUCGACUGUGACGAAGCGUGAGUGACGGUAAUGGGUAAAGAAGCAACGGCUAACUACGUG
This 468-nucleotide ribosomal RNA is filed under the name uncultured bacterium. RNAcentral describes it as "partial 16S ribosomal RNA". It matches the Rfam family "Bacterial small subunit ribosomal RNA", at positions 28 to 507 of the family's 1533-position model. The record is from RNAcentral.